GCUUGAUGAUGAUACCUCUUGAGACUGAGCAAUUUGUAGUUGGUCCUUCAUUUGCUCAACUGAUGUGAUUGCGUUUCAAGACGGGGCUGAGAGCAAC
This is a small nucleolar RNA of Xyrauchen texanus (razorback sucker), 97 nucleotides long. RefSeq annotates it as small nucleolar RNA SNORD21. The transcript has a single exon. The record is from RefSeq and is a predicted model, not a curated record. Lineage: Eukaryota; Metazoa; Chordata; Actinopteri; Cypriniformes; Catostomidae.